RNAcentral lists this long non-coding RNA (583 nucleotides) under Junco hyemalis (dark-eyed junco). RNAcentral's name for it is "lncRNA (ENSJHYG00000001999.1)". Lineage: Eukaryota; Metazoa; Chordata; Aves; Passeriformes; Passerellidae. The record is from RNAcentral.
CAACAGUAAUAAUAAUAGUACUCUAAAAACCUAGUUGGUGUCCUUCAUUGUGAGUCAGAACGACAAUAAGUAACAUCUGGUUUUUGUGUUUUUCCUGUUCUGGGUUUCCAAGAGCUGUUUGUAAGUCUAACUAGGGCAGUAGCCUGAAUCCUUGACAGGAGAAAUUGCCUUUCCUUGUUCUGAAGCAACCUCUCUGACUAAUCCAAGGCCUCACCUUAAGUUGCCCUUGUUGUAUCUUCUGGAUAGUUGAGACUUGGUAAAAGGCAGUGAGAAGUGGAGGAACCUCAGAAAAAGUAACGUGCUUCAGAUCCAAUGCUGCCCCUUUCUGUCUGCAGGCAAGUCAGGCAGUGAGCUUUUCAGUGAUGACAGCAGGCCACAGUAUUUACUGAAGGCAGCAGAGUUGGUGGUUUGGGGACACAUGGGAAGACUGAAGGAAAAAGGAGGCCAGUCCCACUCUCUGCCUCAGCUUCACUCAGGCUGGAGUCUUGGAGGUCCAGGUUUUGUGAAAAUAAAGGACUAAGUAGAGCAGAGAGCCCCUCUUCUCUUAUCCUCUGCAGCACUGACUACAAGAGCUUGGCUGCUA